This 2490-nucleotide ribosomal RNA is filed under the name Campylobacter coli. Its description in RNAcentral is "partial 23S ribosomal RNA". It matches the Rfam family "Bacterial large subunit ribosomal RNA", at positions 593 to 2925 of the family's 2925-position model. Lineage: Bacteria; Pseudomonadati; Campylobacterota; Epsilonproteobacteria; Campylobacterales; Campylobacteraceae. The record is from RNAcentral.
GUGAUGGACUGCCUUUUGCAUAAUGAGCCUGCGAGUUGUGGUGUCUGGCAAGGUUAAGCAAACGCGAAGCCGUAGCGAAAGCGAGUCUGAAUAGGGCGCUUAGUCAGAUGCUGCAGACCCGAAACGAAGUGAUCUAUCCAUGAGCAAGUUGAAGCUAGUGUAAGAACUAGUGGAGGACUGAACCCAUAGGCGUUGAAAAGCCCCGGGAUGACUUGUGGAUAGGGGUGAAAGGCCAAUCAAACUUCGUGAUAGCUGGUUCUCUCCGAAAUAUAUUUAGGUAUAGCGUUGUGUCGUAAUAUAAGGGGGUAGAGCACUGAAUGGGCUAGGGCAUACACCAAUGUACCAAACCCUAUCAAACUCCGAAUACCUUAUAUGUAAUCACAGCAGUCAGGCGGCGAGUGAUAAAAUCCGUCGUCAAGAGGGAAACAACCCAGACUACCAGCUAAGGUCCCUAAAUCUUACUUAAGUGGAAAACGAUGUGAAGUUACUUAAACAACCAGGAGGUUGGCUUAGAAGCAGCCAUCCUUUAAAGAAAGCGUAAUAGCUCACUGGUCUAGUGAUUUUGCGCGGAAAAUAUAACGGGGCUAAAGUAAGUACCGAAGCUGUAGACUUGCGCACAACUUAGAUUAUUUAAGUUUAGAAUAUGAGAAACUAAGUUAUAUGUUUAGUUAUAUUUUUACUGAUUUUUAUAGAGUAAAGAUAGAAAUAAAACUUAGUAAAAUCAGUAAAAAUAUUCUUAGACUAAAGUUAAGUAGUUUAAGUUGUGUGCAAGUGGUAGGAGAGCGUUCUAUUUGCGUCGAAGGUAUACCGGUAAGGAGUGCUGGAGCGAAUAGAAGUGAGCAUGCAGGCAUGAGUAGCGAUAAUUAAUGUGAGAAUCAUUAACGCCGUAAACCCAAGGUUUCCUACGCGAUGCUCGUCAUCGUAGGGUUAGUCGGGUCCUAAGUCGAGUCCGAAAGGGGUAGACGAUGGCAAAUUGGUUAAUAUUCCAAUACCAACAUUAGUGUGCGAUGGAAGGACGCUUAGGGCUAAGGGGGCUAGCGGAUGGAAGUGCUAGUCUAAGGUCGUAGGAGGUUAUACAGGCAAAUCCGUAUAACAAUACUCCGAGAACUGAAAGGCUUUUUGAAGUCUUCGGAUGGAUAGAAGAACCCCUGAUGCCGUCGAGCCAAGAAAAGUUUCUAAGUUUAGCUAAUGUUGCCCGUACCGUAAACCGACACAGGUGGGUGGGAUGAGUAUUCUAAGGCGCGUGGAAGAACUCUCUUUAAGGAACUCUGCAAAAUAGCACCGUAUCUUCGGUAUAAGGUGUGGUUCGCUUCGUAUUAGGAUUUACUCCGAAAGCGAAGAAACUUACAACAAAGAGUCCCUCCCGACUGUUUACCAAAAACACAGCACUCUGCUAACUCGUAAGAGGAUGUAUAGGGUGUGACGCCUGCCCGGUGCUCGAAGGUUAAUUGAUGGGGUUAGCAUUAGCGAAGCUCUUGAUCGAAGCCCGAGUAAACGGCGGCCGUAACUAUAACGGUCCUAAGGUAGCGAAAUUCCUUGUCGGUUAAAUACCGACCUGCAUGAAUGGCGUAACGAGAUGGGAGCUGUCUCAAAGAGGGAUCCAGUGAAAUUGUAGUGGAGGUGAAAAUUCCUCCUACCCGCGGCAAGACGGAGAGACCCCGUGGACCUUUACUACAGCUUGACACUGCUAUUUGGAUAAGAAUGUGCAGGAUAGGUGGGAGGCUUUGAGUAUAUGACGCCAGUUGUAUAUGAGCCAUUGUUGAGAUACCACUCUUUCUUAUUUGGGUAGCUAACCAGCUUGAGUUAUCCUCAAGUGGGACAAUGUCUGGUGGGUAGUUUGACUGGGGCGGUCGCCUCCCAAAUAAUAACGGAGGCUUACAAAGGUUGGCUCAGAACGGUUGGAAAUCGUUCGUAGAGUAUAAAGGUAUAAGCCAGCUUAACUGCAAGACAUACAAGUCAAGCAGAGACGAAAGUCGGUCUUAGUGAUCCGGUGGUUCUGUGUGGAAGGGCCAUCGCUCAAAGGAUAAAAGGUACCCCGGGGAUAACAGGCUGAUCUCCCCCAAGAGCUCACAUCGACGGGGAGGUUUGGCACCUCGAUGUCGGCUCAUCGCAUCCUGGGGCUGGAGCAGGUCCCAAGGGUAUGGCUGUUCGCCAUUUAAAGCGGUACGCGAGCUGGGUUCAGAACGUCGUGAGACAGUUCGGUCCCUAUCUGCCGUGGGCGUAAGAAGAUUGAAGAGAUUUGACCCUAGUACGAGAGGACCGGGUUGAACAAACCACUGGUGUAGCUGUUGUUCUGCCAAGAGCAUCGCAGCGUAGCUAAGUUUGGAAAGGAUAAACGCUGAAAGCAUCUAAGCGUGAAGCCAACUCUAAGAUGAAUCUUCUCUAAGCUCUCUAGAAGACUACUAGUUUGAUAGGCUGGGUGUGUAAUGGAUGAAAGUCCUUUAGCUGACCAGUACUAAUAGAGCGUUUGGCUUAUCUUUAAUAAAGCAU